AGUGUUUUAGGUCUCUCACUAAUUUCCCCUGCAACUUCAGGGGUGAAGAACAUGACCUGAGCUGAGCCAUCUGGCACAUUCCACUGCUGACCAUAGGGAUUGAGCUGAUGGCGAUCCUACAAUCCUCCUACAGCAAGCCAUCCUACUGCAGCCAGAAACCUGUAGUGUCCAUUCCAGAGGCAUGGUUCCACCCAAAGCUAAUGUCCUCAGAGACAUUAAAAGGAAGAGAUGAGUUCAUAAGGGACCCUGGACAGGCAAAAGCAGCAAAUGUCCACUCCAGCGUGUUGGCCAGUCCAUGCGGAGUGAGCAUCAAGACAGUGCUGGAGCAAGCCCCUUCCUUCGGUAAGGAAGGAUACAGCCACUGACAGCCACCAGGUGUCUGACACCUAUCUGAAAAGCCAGCAA
RNAcentral lists this long non-coding RNA (405 nucleotides) under Homo sapiens (human). RNAcentral describes it as "HSALNT0353248". The record is from RNAcentral. Lineage: Eukaryota; Metazoa; Chordata; Mammalia; Primates; Hominidae.